UCAAAGAAAAGUAUAUCUCAUGAAAAGUAAGAAAAGGCUCAAAGUGGUCACAGCCUCGCAGGAAUAAUCUAAGCCCGUAGGUACAUUCAUAGGUUGAGGGAUAUGUUACCUACAAUCAAAUCAUAACCAAACUUAGUAUAAAAAAAGGCUCAAAGUUUGACAAUAAUGUCAAUUUGCUUAUAUAACUAGAAUAUACAAGUAUCAAUAUAUAGGAAGCAAAUUUUACCAUAAGUGCUGAUAAGUUGUCCUUGUGAGUUUCUGCGACCUUUCUCAACUAUGCAAUGUUAAUGUUACCCUUGGGGUUUCUGCACAUCAUAGUUUCCUAAUGCACAUCAUACGUUUGAUGCUUUAAUUCUAGUUAUGCUAUUGCCUAAGACAGUUGCAUGAAAUGAACCAUUAGUUGACACUCAUUCCUUCUGAUAUCCUCUUUGAACUUUCUACUAUUAAGCAUUACUUCAUACAGACUAAUUUAUAAUGAUAGAACAGAAGUAAACAUUAUGCCAUUCUAAUCACUUUACUCUAUCUAAAGUACAAAAACCACCAACUAGGAGACAAUGAUAUCAUAUUUGAUCUACUUUCUGAGGAGAAACUAAUGGCAUCUCAACAGAUUUAUUAUGACAGCAAAAUUAACACCGACUGAAAUUCGAG
Molecule: long non-coding RNA, 648 nt
Filed under: Arachis ipaensis
Lineage: Eukaryota; Viridiplantae; Streptophyta; Magnoliopsida; Fabales; Fabaceae
Description: long non-coding RNA (AIPA_LNC001396)
Source: RNAcentral